AUGGCAGAGCCCAGGUCUGCCUGGAGGACCCACAUCCAUCAACAAUCCCAGCCAGGCUGCAGGACAGUAACCUGGUGGUGCAGCCCCACAGACCCAGCACAAGGCAACAGGAGCUUGGGGGACAGAAGGGGACUUGUGGGCAGGAGGAAAGAGAGGAAGGACUCGGAGGACACUCACAUACUGGCUGGGGGUCUGGAAAAGGCGGCAGGAGCAGAGGAAUUGGCAGCACAUAGGGUCCCGGUGGUACAAGAGCAGCAGCAGGAUGAGGAUCGCCACAAUGAAGACGGACGUGGACACCGCUGCCAAGAGACGGGAGAGGCGAGAGAGCCGGUGUUUCGACGGGCCCCGGGCCUCCCCCUGCCGCCCGCUCUCGCCCCGCGGCUGACGCUUGGAGAAGCCCCUGAGAAGCCGAUUCCACCUGCUGCCCGCCUCAAGAGCGCUAAAGCCCCUUUCUGCCCAGCAUCUCUCUCCCUACCAGACGAUGAACGACCUACAGAGCCAGGAGGGGCUCACCCCAUCCUGGACCGCGGCAGCAGGGACCGCUCCGCGGGGACGCGCACCGGCACCCACCGCCUCUGGCCCGGCGCUCUCGGCUCCCUCAGCACCACGGCCGGGCGCCGGUUCGCCGGUGUUGCGGUCUCCCGGGAGCCCGCGGCUCCCCCCGGCCCACCCGCGGAUCCGCGGAGCCCACCCGCCCCGCCAGCCAGCGGGACCCCCCGGGUUAGGACCGGCUGCUGCAGCGACCUCUCCCCCGCCGGUUCGUCCGCAGGUAUCGCCUUAUCGGCACAGCCCGGGAGGCACCGGCAGAGGCCGAUCCUGCCCGGCGGCCGCCCCCGCUUCGCUCCCGGCACCACCGGAGCCCCCGCCCGCCACUCACUGGCGGCGAUGACGAUGGCCAGGACGUUGUUGUCCAUGCUGGCGCUGGCGGUCGCGGUGUGGCCCGAGGCCUCCGCGGGCUGCGCCAUCCCGACCCCGCCGCCAGCCCCUGCCCGCCGCCCGCUCUCCACAGCCCGCGAGGGGCGGGCCGGGGCGGGGCCCGAGCGAGCGCGCUCGGCCGCGGCGCUCCCGGGG
Molecule: long non-coding RNA, 1071 nt
Filed under: Junco hyemalis (dark-eyed junco)
Lineage: Eukaryota; Metazoa; Chordata; Aves; Passeriformes; Passerellidae
Description: lncRNA (ENSJHYG00000004868.1)
Source: RNAcentral